UGUCGACCGACCUAGCGGACAUUUGCCAAGACGAUAGAUGAGUUCUCUGAGGAGGGAAUUAUG
This 63-nucleotide non-coding RNA is filed under the name unclassified sequences. The record is from RNAcentral.